UAGGGAAUCUUCCGCAAUGGGCGAAAGCCCGACGGAGCAACGCCGCGUGAGUGAUGAAGGUCUUCGGAUCGUAAAACUCUGUUAUUAGGGAAGAACAAAUGUGUAAGUAACUAUGCACGUCUUGACGGUACCUAAUCAGAAAGCCACGGCUAACUACGUGCCAGCAGCCGCGGUAAUACGUAGGUGGCAAGCGUUAUCCGGAAUUAUUGGGCGUAAAGCGCGCGUAGGCGGUUUUUUAAGUCUGAUGUGAAAGCCCACGGCUCAACCGUGGAGGGUCAUUGGAAACUGGAAAACUUGAGUGCAGAAGAGGAAAGUGGAAUUCCAUGUGUAGCGGUGAAAUGCGCAGAGAUAUGGAGGAACACCAGUGGCGAAGGCGACUUUCUGGUCUGUAACUGACGCUGAUGUGCGAAAGCGUGGGGAUCAAACAGG
This 429-nucleotide ribosomal RNA is filed under the name Actinomycetes bacterium. RNAcentral's name for it is "Actinobacteria bacterium partial 16S ribosomal RNA". It matches the Rfam family "Bacterial small subunit ribosomal RNA", at positions 355 to 776 of the family's 1533-position model. Lineage: Bacteria; Bacillati; Actinomycetota; Actinomycetes. The record is from RNAcentral.